AUAUAUAACAACAUAAAUAUCAUGUGCUGU
This 30-nucleotide non-coding RNA is filed under the name Trypanosoma brucei brucei. The record is from RNAcentral. Lineage: Eukaryota; Euglenozoa; Kinetoplastea; Trypanosomatida; Trypanosomatidae.